AGUGUCAAAAGGGCGUUUAGUGGAUGCCUUGGCAUGUAGAGGCGAUGAAGGACGUGGCACGCUGCGAUAAGUCUCGGGGAGUUGCGAGCAGACUUUGAUCCGAGAAUUUCCGAAUGGGGAAACCCACCGUUUCGGCGGUAUCGCACACUGAAUACAUAGGUGUGCGAGGCAAACCCGGGGAACUGAAACAUCUAAGUACCCGGAGGAAAGGACAGCAAUAGCUACUCCCCUAGUAGUGGCGAGCGAACGGGGACCAGCCGA
Molecule: ribosomal RNA, 261 nt
Filed under: Schmidingerella taraikaensis
Lineage: Eukaryota; Ciliophora; Spirotrichea; Tintinnida; Rhabdonellidae
Description: partial Bacterial large subunit ribosomal RNA
Rfam family: Bacterial large subunit ribosomal RNA
Source: RNAcentral